RNAcentral lists this ribosomal RNA (817 nucleotides) under uncultured bacterium. RNAcentral's name for it is "bacterial SSU rRNA". It matches the Rfam family "Bacterial small subunit ribosomal RNA", at positions 75 to 903 of the family's 1533-position model. The record is from RNAcentral.
GGAGCUUGCUCUGUGGGAUCAGUGGCGAACGGGUGAGUAACACGUGAGCAACCUGCCCCUGACUCUGGGAUAAGCGCUGGAAACGGCGUCUAAUACUGGAUAUGUGACGUGACCGCAUGGUCUGCGUCUGGAAAGAAUUUCGGUUGGGGAUGGGCUCGCGGCCUAUCAGCUUGUUGGUGAGGUAAUGGCUCACCAAGGCGUCGACGGGUAGCCGGCCUGAGAGGGUGACCGGCCACACUGGGACUGAGACACGGCCCAGACUCCUACGGGAGGCAGCAGUGGGGAAUAUUGCACAAUGGGCGCAAGCCUGAUGCAGCAACGCCGCGUGAGGGACGACGGCCUUCGGGUUGUAAACCUCUUUUAGCAGGGAAGAAGCGAAAGUGACGGUACCUGCAGAAAAAGCGCCGGCUAACUACGUGCCAGCAGCCGCGGUAAUACGUAGGGCGCAAGCGUUAUCCGGAAUUAUUGGGCGUAAAGAGCUCGUAGGCGGUUUGUCGCGUCUGCUGUGAAAUCCGGAGGCUCAACCUCCGGCCUGCAGUGGGUACGGGCAGACUAGAGUGCGGUAGGGGAGAUUGGAAUUCCUGGUGUAGCGGUGGAAUGCGCAGAUAUCAGGAGGAACACCGAUGGCGAAGGCAGAUCUCUGGGCCGUAACUGACGCUGAGGAGCGAAAGGGUGGGGAGCAAACAGGCUUAGAUACCCUGGUAGUCCACCCCGUAAACGUUGGGAACUAGUUGUGGGGUCCAUUCCACGGAUUCCGUGACGCAGCUAACGCAUUAAGUUCCCCGCCUGGGGAGUACGGCCGCAAGGCUAAAACUCA